RNAcentral lists this long non-coding RNA (722 nucleotides) under Mytilus galloprovincialis (Mediterranean mussel). The record is from RNAcentral. Lineage: Eukaryota; Metazoa; Mollusca; Bivalvia; Mytilida; Mytilidae.
AUUAAUUUCAGAAAUUCAUACAUAUUUAUGCGAGCUAGAGUCAACUAAAACUUUAUACACAUUUGUCUCUACAUAGAGUCAACCAUAAGUUUAUAUACAUUUGUCUCUAGCUAGAGUCAACCAGAUCUUUAUACACAUUUGUUCUUGCUAGAGACAACUAGAACUUUAUACUGUAUACACAUUUGUUCCAACUAGAGUCUACCAGAUCUGUAUGCACAUUUGUGCCAGAUAGAGUCAACCAGAACUAUAUACACAGUUGUGCCAGCUAGAGUCAUAGAGUCAACCAGAACUAUAUACACAGUUGUGCCAGCUAGAGUCAACCAGAACUUUCUACACAUUUGUUCUUGCUAGAGACAACCAGAACUUUAUACACAUUUGUUAUAGCUAGAGUCAACCAGAACUUAAUACACAUUUUUAUCUAGCUAAAGUCAACCAGAACUUUAUACACAUUUGUUCCAGCUAGAGACAACCAGACGUGUAUACAUAUAUGUGUUCUGACUAGAGUCAACCAGAACCUUUACACAUUUGUGCUAGCUAGGGUCAGCCAGAACUUUAUACACAUUUGUUCUAGCUAGAGACAACCAGAACUUUAUGCACAUUUGUUCUUGCUAUUUUAAAUAGAUGUAAGAAGAUGUGGUAUGAGUGCCAAUGAUCCAACUCUCUCAUCCAAUUCACUAUUUAGAAAAGUUAACCAUUAUAGGUCAAAGUAUGGUCUAAGAUAC